UACAGAGGUCUCGAGCGUUAGGCGGAAUCACUGGGCUUAAAGCGUGUGUAGGUGGAUCGUUAAGUACCUUGUGAAAUCCCACGGCUUAACCGUGGAACUGCUUGGUAUACUGGCGGUCUUGAGCCACUUAGGGGCUACCGGAACAAAUGGUGGAGCGGUGAAAUGCGUAGAUAUCGGGAGGAACACCAGUGGCGAAGGCGGCUACCUGGACCAGCACUGACACUGAAGCACGAAAGCGUGGGGAGCAAACAGG
This 253-nucleotide ribosomal RNA is filed under the name uncultured bacterium. RNAcentral describes it as "partial 16S ribosomal RNA". It matches the Rfam family "Bacterial small subunit ribosomal RNA", at positions 524 to 776 of the family's 1533-position model. The record is from RNAcentral.